This 2899-nucleotide ribosomal RNA is filed under the name Klebsiella pneumoniae. RNAcentral describes it as "bacterial LSU rRNA". It matches the Rfam family "Bacterial large subunit ribosomal RNA". The record is from RNAcentral. Lineage: Bacteria; Pseudomonadati; Pseudomonadota; Gammaproteobacteria; Enterobacterales; Enterobacteriaceae.
UUAAGCGACUAAGCGUACACGGUGGAUGCCCUGGCAGUCAGAGGCGAUGAAGGACGUGCUAAUCUGCGAAAAGCGUCGGUAAGGUGAUAUGAACCGUUAUAACCGGCGAUGUCCGAAUGGGGAAACCCAGUGCAAUUCGUUGCACUAUCGUUAACUGAAUACAUAGGUUAACGAGGCGAACCGGGGGAACUGAAACAUCUAAGUACCCCGAGGAAAAGAAAUCAACCGAGAUUCCCCCAGUAGCGGCGAGCGAACGGGGAGCAGCCCAGAGUCUGAAUCAGCUUGUGUGUUAGUGGAACGGUCUGGAAAGUCCGACGGUACAGGGUGAUAGUCCCGUACACCAAAAUGCACAGGCUGUGAACUCGAAGAGUAGGGCGGGACACGUGGUAUCCUGUCUGAAUAUGGGGGGACCAUCCUCCAAGGCUAAAUACUCCUGACUGACCGAUAGUGAACCAGUACCGUGAGGGAAAGGCGAAAAGAACCCCGGCGAGGGGAGUGAAAAAGAACCUGAAACCGUGUACGUACAAGCAGUGGGAGCACCUUCGGGUGUGACUGCGUACCUUUUGUAUAAUGGGUCAGCGACUUAUAUUCUGUAGCAAGGUUAACCGUAUAGGGGAGCCGCAGGGAAACCGAGUCUUAACUGGGCGUUAAGUUGCAGGGUAUAGACCCGAAACCCGGUGAUCUAGCCAUGGGCAGGUUGAAGGUUGGGUAACACUAACUGGAGGACCGAACCGACUAAUGUUGAAAAAUUAGCGGAUGACUUGUGGCUGGGGGUGAAAGGCCAAUCAAACCGGGAGAUAGCUGGUUCUCCCCGAAAGCUAUUUAGGUAGCGCCUCGUGAACUCAUCUUCGGGGGUAGAGCACUGUUUCGGCUAGGGGGUCAUCCCGACUUACCAACCCGAUGCAAACUACGAAUACCGAAGAAUGUUAUCACGGGAGACACACGGCGGGUGCUAACGUCCGUCGUGAAGAGGGAAACAACCCAGACCGCCAGCUAAGGUCCCAAAGUCAUGGUUAAGUGGGAAACGAUGUGGGAAGGCACAGACAGCCAGGAUGUUGGCUUAGAAGCAGCCAUCAUUUAAAGAAAGCGUAAUAGCUCACUGGUCGAGUCGGCCUGCGCGGAAGAUGUAACGGGGCUAAACCAUGCACCGAAGCUGCGGCAGCGACACUAUGUGUUGUUGGGUAGGGGAGCGUUCUGUAAGCCUGCGAAGGUGUGCUGUGAGGCAUGCUGGAGGUAUCAGAAGUGCGAAUGCUGACAUAAGUAACGAUAAAGCGGGUGAAAAGCCCGCUCGCCGGAAGACCAAGGGUUCCUGUCCAACGUUAAUCGGGGCAGGGUGAGUCGACCCCUAAGGCGAGGCCGAAAGGCGUAGUCGAUGGGAAACAGGUUAAUAUUCCUGUACUUGGUGUUACUGCGAAGGGGGGACGGAGAAGGCUAUGUUAGCCGGGCGACGGUUGUCCCGGUUUAAGCAUGUAGGCUGGUUGUCCAGGCAAAUCCGGAUAAUCAAGGCUGAGGUGUGAUGACGAGGCACUACGGUGCUGAAGUAACAAAUGCCCUGCUUCCAGGAAAAGCCUCUAAGCAUCAGGUAACAUCAAAUCGUACCCCAAACCGACACAGGUGGUCAGGUAGAGAAUACCAAGGCGCUUGAGAGAACUCGGGUGAAGGAACUAGGCAAAAUGGUGCCGUAACUUCGGGAGAAGGCACGCUGGUGUGUAGGUGAAGCCCCUGCGGGUGGAGCUGAGACCAGUCGAAGAUACCAGCUGGCUGCAACUGUUUAUUAAAAACACAGCACUGUGCAAACACGAAAGUGGACGUAUACGGUGUGACGCCUGCCCGGUGCCGGAAGGUUAAUUGAUGGGGUUAUCCGUAAGGAGAAGCUCUUGAUCGAAGCCCCGGUAAACGGCGGCCGUAACUAUAACGGUCCUAAGGUAGCGAAAUUCCUUGUCGGGUAAGUUCCGACCUGCACGAAUGGCGUAAUGAUGGCCAGGCUGUCUCCACCCGAGACUCAGUGAAAUUGAACUCGCUGUGAAGAUGCAGUGUACCCGCGGCAAGACGGAAAGACCCCGUGAACCUUUACUAUAGCUUGACACUGAACAUUGAGCCUUGAUGUGUAGGAUAGGUGGGAGGCUUUGAAGCGUGGACGCCAGUCUGCGUGGAGCCAACCUUGAAAUACCACCCUUUAAUGUUUGAUGUUCUAACGUUGGCCCCUUACCGGGGUUGCGGACAGUGUCUGGUGGGUAGUUUGACUGGGGCGGUCUCCUCCCAAAGCGUAACGGAGGAGCACGAAGGUUAGCUAAUCCUGGUCGGACAUCAGGAGGUUAGUGCAAUGGCAUAAGCUAGCUUGACUGCGAGCGUGACGGCGCGAGCAGGUGCGAAAGCAGGUCAUAGUGAUCCGGUGGUUCUGAAUGGAAGGGCCAUCGCUCAACGGAUAAAAGGUACUCCGGGGAUAACAGGCUGAUACCGCCCAAGAGUUCAUAUCGACGGCGGUGUUUGGCACCUCGAUGUCGGCUCAUCACAUCCUGGGGCUGAAGUAGGUCCCAAGGGUAUGGCUGUUCGCCAUUUAAAGUGGUACGCGAGCUGGGUUUAGAACGUCGUGAGACAGUUCGGUCCCUAUCUGCCGUGGGCGCUGGAGAAUUGAGGGGGGCUGCUCCUAGUACGAGAGGACCGGAGUGGACGCAUCACUGGUGUUCGGGUUGUCAUGCCAAUGGCACUGCCCGGUAGCUAAAUGCGGAAGAGAUAAGUGCUGAAAGCAUCUAAGCACGAAACUUGCCCCGAGAUGAGUUCUCCCUGAGACUUUAAGUCUCCUGAAGGAACGUUGAAGACGACGACGUUGAUAGGCCGGGUGUGUAAGCGCAGCGAUGCGUUGAGCUAACCGGUACUAAUGAACCGUGAGGCUUAACCU